Molecule: ribosomal RNA, 425 nt
Filed under: uncultured bacterium
Lineage: Bacteria
Description: bacterial SSU rRNA
Rfam family: Bacterial small subunit ribosomal RNA
Source: RNAcentral
GUGGGGAAUAUUGGACAAUGGGCGAAAGCCUGAUCCAGCCAUGCCGCGUGAGUGAUGAAGGCCUUAGGGUUGUAAAGCUCUUUCAGUAGGGAAGAUAAUGACGGUACCUACAGAAGAAGCCCCGGCUAACUUCGUGCCAGCAGCCGCGGUAAUACGAAGGGGGCUAGCGUUGUUCGGAUUUACUGGGCGUAAAGCGCACGUAGGCGGAUCGUUAAGUCGGGGGUGAAAUCCUGGAGCUCAACUCCAGAACUGCCUUCGAUACUGGCGAUCUUGAGUCCGGAAGAGGUGAGUGGAACUCCUAGUGUAGAGGUGGAAUUCGUAGAUAUUAGGAAGAACACCAGUGGCGAAGGCGGCUCACUGGUCCGGUACUGACGCUGAGGUGCGAAAGCGUGGGGAGCAAACAGGAUUAGAUACCCCAGUAGUCC